AUUGAACGCUGGCGGCAUGCUUUACACAUGCAAGUCGAACGGCAGCGAGGAGAAGCUUGCUUCUCUGUCGGCGAGUGGCGAACGGGUGAGUAUAGCAUCGGAACGUGCCAAGUAGUGGGGGAUAACCAAACGAAAGUUUGGCUAAUACCGCGUAAGCUCUAAGGAGGAAAGUAGGGGACCUAAAUAAGGCCUUACGCUAUUUGAUCGGCCGAUGUCGGAUUAGCUAGUUGGUGGGGUAAUGGCUCACCAAGGCAAUGAUCCGUAGCGGGUCUGAGAGGACGAUCAGCCACACUGGGACUGAGACACGGCCCAGACUCCUACGGGAGGCAGCAGUGGGGAAUUUUGGACAAUGGGAGAAAACCUGAUCCAGCCAUGCCGCGUGUAUGAAGAAGGCCUUAGGGUUGUAAAGUACUUUUAUUAGGGAAGAAAAGCCAGUUUUUAAUAAAUAUUAGUGAUGACGGUACCAAAAGAAUAAGCACCGGCUAACUACGUG
This 493-nucleotide ribosomal RNA is filed under the name uncultured bacterium. RNAcentral's name for it is "partial 16S ribosomal RNA". It matches the Rfam family "Bacterial small subunit ribosomal RNA", at positions 30 to 507 of the family's 1533-position model. The record is from RNAcentral.